GCAAAAUUCACCCCAAAAGUGUAAUCACUGAAGUAAACAGAAAAAGAAUCGACGAAACAUUCUAUGUCUUUAACAAAACCCAAGAUUUUUGAUGUUUCUUCUUCUUCGCCGACUUGAAAUGAUCAUUUGAAACUAUUUUUUUCCUUCAUUUCUUUCAAUUUCUGAUAUGUUUAUUUUAUUUUUUAUUUUACAAGCAAGUAGUUUCAGAUCUCAAAGAAAUUUUUGAGUUUCAAAUUGGGAAUCCAAUUCUUUUUCGUGAAUGAAGAAGGGAAUUAGGGGGUCCUUGGGCUUUUGGUUAAAGAAGAUAGGAGAGGAGCGCCUUUGUUCUUUAUGAAAAAGAAAAGGGGUACGAUCGGUUUAGUUUGUUUUGGAGAAAGGAGGAGGAAGAAGAAGAAGAAGGGAGUGGUCUAGUUUUCGCUCAAAAUGAGGAAUAAGAAGGGAGUUGUUGUGCUUCAGAAGCCCUUUGUUCUCCAUCUUUUCUAAGGGGGAGCUUCUUUGAUUUUUAGGUCUCCUAAAG
RNAcentral lists this long non-coding RNA (517 nucleotides) under Nicotiana benthamiana. Its description in RNAcentral is "long non-coding RNA (NBEN_LNC018654)". The record is from RNAcentral. Lineage: Eukaryota; Viridiplantae; Streptophyta; Magnoliopsida; Solanales; Solanaceae.